AUGGCCGAGUCCAGAUCUGCCGUCGUCGACUUGGAGAAAGGCACCUUCGAUUUGGAGGAAGGAGCCGCACUGGAGCCCGACUCAGCGCGGCGCACGGGGUUGUUUCUUGGCGGCUUGUUUCUCGUGAUCGACAUUAUUAUUCUUGCGCGCUCCGGCCUGUGGGCAGGUUUCGCGGCGGCUAUCCUGUUCGCAGCAGUGAUCUUGUUUGUAGUUUCGAUAGUGCGCCGAGCUGGCCCUUGGCCUGAUGAAGAUGACAACGAUGUCCGCCGGCAAGUAGACAUCAAAGCAGCUCCAGCUCCACCAGCAGAAAUAGAGCCACGCUCUUUUGAUCUUUUGAGUGAAGCUCCUCAUACUUUUAUCCUUCCAACGUUGCUCCCUCUGAUACUAUAUUCAUGA
This 396-nucleotide ribosomal RNA is filed under the name Triticum aestivum (bread wheat). Its description in RNAcentral is "partial small subunit ribosomal RNA". Lineage: Eukaryota; Viridiplantae; Streptophyta; Magnoliopsida; Poales; Poaceae. The record is from RNAcentral.